GGAGAUAUAGCUCAGUGGUAGAGUGCUUGCCUAACAUGCAUAAUGCCUUGGGUUCAAUUCCCAGUUAUCACCU
Molecule: transfer RNA, 73 nt
Filed under: Cricetulus griseus (Chinese hamster)
Lineage: Eukaryota; Metazoa; Chordata; Mammalia; Rodentia; Cricetidae
Rfam family: tRNA
About the family: Transfer RNA (tRNA) molecules are approximately 80 nucleotides in length.
Source: Rfam by way of RNAcentral